GACGAACGCUGGCGGCGUGCUUAACACAUGCAAGUCGAACGGAAAGGCCCCUUUGUGGGUACUCGAGUGGCGAACGGGUGAGUAACACUUGAGUAACCUGCCCUUGACUGCGGGAUAACUUCAGGAAACUGGGGCUAAUACUGGAUAGGAAUCAUUGCUGCAUGGUGGUGGUUGUAAAGCUUCGGCGGUUUUGGCUUGACUGGCGGCUUAUCCGCUUGUUUGUGGGGUAGUGGCUUACCAAGGCUCUGACGGGUAGCCGGCCUGAGAGGGCGACCGGCCACAUUGGGACUGAGAUACGGCCCAGACUCCGACGGGAGGCAGCAGUGGGGAAUAUUGCACAAUGGGCGGAAGCCUGAUGCAGCAACGCCGCGGGCGGGAUGACGGCCUUCGGGUUGAAAACCGCUUUCAGCAGGGGCGAAGCUUGUGGUGACGGUACCUGCAGAAGAAGCACCGGCUAACUACGUG
RNAcentral lists this ribosomal RNA (465 nucleotides) under uncultured bacterium. Its description in RNAcentral is "partial 16S ribosomal RNA". It matches the Rfam family "Bacterial small subunit ribosomal RNA", at positions 28 to 507 of the family's 1533-position model. The record is from RNAcentral.